RNAcentral lists this ribosomal RNA (212 nucleotides) under uncultured Staphylococcus sp. RNAcentral describes it as "partial 16S ribosomal RNA". It matches the Rfam family "Bacterial small subunit ribosomal RNA", at positions 150 to 355 of the family's 1533-position model. The record is from RNAcentral. Lineage: Bacteria; Bacillati; Bacillota; Bacilli; Caryophanales; Staphylococcaceae.
CGGGAAACCGGAGCUAAUACCGGAUAAUAUUUCGAACCGCAUGGUUCGAUAGUGAAAGAUGGUUUUGCUAUCACUUAUAGAUGGACCCGCGCCGUAUUAGCUAGUUGGUAAGGUAACGGCUUACCAAGGCGACGAUACGUAGCCGACCUGAGAGGGUGAUCGGCCACACUGGAACUGAGACACGGUCCAGACUCCUACGGGAGGCAGCAGCC